UUGCGAUUACGGCGAAGCAGAGUAAAUGUUAUUCCAGUCUUCUAUUUUAGUUUAAACACAAUUGAAAUGGAUAAAUUACGUCCAAAUAGCAUUGAGAAUGACAGGGCUAGUGGUGCAGUUGAUGCUGUCGAAAAUUUUAAACGAAAAUAUAAAAAGAGGAGGGCCACAUCCGAAGGAAAUUCUCCAAAAUUUGGUCGGAUGAGGCGAAGCCGGGGCCGGAGAAGGCGGUAGGAACAGUAAGAAAAGGGAGGGAGAUGAAGACGUCCCCCUAACUCUGGUCGACACGAAACAGCUGAUUACCAAGGAAAAGAAAAAUCGAAACUGGGGGAAACACAAAAAGCGUAAGGGCAGUGGUUGACACAGGCGAUGGCAGCCCUCGUUACAAUAUAUACGGAGAAGUCAUCAAACAAAUCAGCAAUAACGACUUUGUCAACAAAGAUUUAAUUCGAUUCAGCAACAUGGAAUUUGCUGAAUGCUCCAUCGUCAAGGAUUUUCAGAAGAUUUAUGUGGAAAAGAAACAAAAAAAUGUCAGUUUUUAUGAUUUUAUUAAAACGGACUUUACAAAAAAGCUGAGCAAACUGCUCACUAUCAACCAGGUUUGUUGAUAAGAACAAUAGUUUUUAUGGCUCAAGACUUCGUAGGCAGCAACAACGUUAAUUUGCUCAUCCCCAAUGGCCAAUUUGGAACUUGGCAUCAGGGAGGUAAAGAUGCUGCUAGUCAUCGUUUAUCUCUAGAAAUAUGAGCAACUUAACACACCGGAUCUUUCACCCACACUUUGCCUUACCGCGCGCACCAAAUAAGGCAUGCGAAUUAAAAAUGAAAUUUAAAAAUUCUAACUGAUGAACGGAUCACGGGAAAAGUUUCAUUGUUUGAUGGGGUUUUCUACACAGGAAAAAUUUAGUGCCGAUGCAAGAGCGUGGAUUUGAUCUGCUGACCAUUAAAAAAAUUUCGCGAAUCAAUUAAGAUUCAUUCUCGAAGUGUGCGACAAAGUCUUCUAUUUCAACUUCAAAGAGACUAAUGUUUUUAUGGAGAAGAUGUGUCAAUUACUUAUUAUUAACAUCUUUGCCGGAACCUUUUUUUUAAUAAAAAAAAAGAUUCCAUCAAAUGAUGCGUAAUUUUUCAUCUUUUUUCCAGUUGCUGAUUGUCAAUAGUUUCUCGUCUCUCGUGUCCUUUUUUGCACGGAAGACGUGACCACCACUACAAGAGGAGCAAACAGGGACUGAGCCUGAGAGGGCGCGAGGCUCGCGCCCUCUCAGCAGACAACGAGAUCUAUCUUGAAAUACAGCCUAAACUGGGAAAAAAGAAGAAGAAACAAUCUAAACGCCAGGUUGCAGAAGGUUGCUGGAUGACAUGGACUGUGACUCAUGCGAAGCAAUAGAAAAAUCUGCAGAUGGAGCUGAAUCAGAAAAAUCUUCAGCUGGUUCAACUUCAAAUGUUAGUUCUAGCUCAUCAACAGAUCUAGCCUGUUAUCCAGCACGUUCUGAAAAAAUGGCAUCAAUAAACAGAGCUGUCCUUCUUUUUAUAGUUCGUGGAAUGCACCCACUCUCUAUGGUAGACAACAGCCAUUUUAUCAAUCUCGUCAAAGUGUUGGAUCCUCGCAUCGAAUUACCAUGUCGGUCAACACUUACGAAAGUUCUCUUGACAGAUAUGUAUGAAGAGGCUAAAAGAAAUCUGCAGUCAGAAAUUGAUUCGGUUCAUCACGUCGCUUUGACCACUGACGGAUGGACUUCCAUCACUGGAGAUUCUUAUGUCACAGUCACGAUACAUUUCAUCAACAACCACCUCAAAAUGCUGAC
Molecule: long non-coding RNA, 1796 nt
Filed under: Daphnia pulicaria
Lineage: Eukaryota; Metazoa; Arthropoda; Branchiopoda; Diplostraca; Daphniidae
Description: uncharacterized LOC124325906, transcript variant X3
Source: RNAcentral